RNAcentral lists this long non-coding RNA (13871 nucleotides) under Phaseolus vulgaris (common bean). RNAcentral's name for it is "long non-coding RNA (PVUL_LNC003658)". Lineage: Eukaryota; Viridiplantae; Streptophyta; Magnoliopsida; Fabales; Fabaceae. The record is from RNAcentral.
CCACACAUGCCUUCUGGAUUGUUUCGUCCACAAACACCAACCACUUGGAGGAUUCUGAACACUCUGGCUUCUCCACGAACUCGAUUUCCAGUUUGGUACCUACAGUUAUGUUUCCAAAAAUUCAAAUCAGUAAGUAAAAAAAAACAUUAUUACGACUUUAAUCCUAACGUUAGGAUGUGCUUUAAAUGGCUCUGAUACCAUAUUAAGAAGUGGACUUUAAGUCUCACUCAACCCCAUAAAACCUGCUCAUAGAAUUGAGGUUUGCAUCCAUUUAUAUAGAAUGAAAUGUCAAUCUCUAGUCGAUGUGGAAUCUCCAAGCGAUACCAUAUUACGAAUAUAUUACAAAGUAGACUUUAAACCUAACUAAAGUCAUUGAAAGUUUAAACCCACGAAUUCUCUUCAUUUAGAGUGGAUAUAAGAUCUCUGAAAUAGUUGUCAACAAAAAAUUCUUCCUACAACAACUUAGUGACUCAUAAUAGUGAGAGAAAAGUAAACUUUUAAGACAGUUUGAUAACUAAUUUCACUGUUCAUUAAUAAGUAAAUGAUAUAAAAGAUUUGAGGGGACUCGUGGUCUUGUUGCAUAUAAAUGCUGAAGUUCCCAUUUUUAUUUACUUUGAAGUCUGAAAUAAUUAAAUUGAUAAGGUAUUGAUGAGUACCAGUGAAGAUGAUUCCGGGGCUGACUCCAGGUAUGGUGAACUUCACGGGAAUGCCACGGAAGACUUCUAUGUAAUCUUGCAAGACAGUUAGAGCGCACUGUGAGUUCCCAGUUUGGCCAAGUUUCAGUCCACCACCAGGUGGGCCACGGAUUGCUGGUAAGAUGUAGUAUGUGAGACCUGGGAAAAUGGGGUUCCCAUUUACGUCCACAACUUGCUCAACAUCUGAGAAAGCUAAGGGAAGGUUGGUGAGGAAAGCAAGGAGAGGGAGGAGGAAGGAGAGGGCAAGAACUGCUGUGGCUUUCAUGGUUGAUUCAGAGGAAGAUGGUGCUGUUGCAGAUGUUCUGCUUCUGUUGUGGUGGACUGGUUUUGGUUCUUUAUAUAGAAACAGAGCACCACGUGCUUGUUCUUAAAAGAAGAUGACAGAGAAUUUUGAUGACAGAGAAAACAAAAACAAAAAAGAAAAAGUAAAAGAAAAAGAAAAUCUGAGAAUUGAAACAUGUUUCAGCAACAAUGUAAAACGAUGUUAAGAAUGGACAUAACAUCAAAGAUGUAUAGGAAGAUAAGAAAAACAUAGUAGUGAAACAGACUUACAUGACAUUUGUAACAUGUGACUAAAUUGUUUUAAUAUUUUCAAGAAAUUUUUUCUGGGAGGUAGUUUUUUCCCCUUAAUUUAGCAACUGAAUAUUAGUCUUUUAUUAAAAUAAUUAGAUUAAAAUUAAUAAAUUCUAGUGAUAAAAAUAUAUUUUUAAGAUAACUUGAUUUUUAAUGAGGAAAUAAUAAAUGAGUAAGCAUUUAUAGGUAGAGAAAUGUAAAGAAUUUGUAGCUCAGAUGGGUGCAUACAGUAUCAAUAAUGAUAAUAUACUUGUUAGAAAAAUAAUUGUGAAGCAAUCAUUGGUAGUUUCAUCUAUAAUCUCAAAUUUUGAAACAAGUUUUUUUUAUCAGAAAACCAAAUCUUUACUCACAAAAGCAAUACUUUUUGAAAAUCACUAUUUUCAAUAUUGGUUUUAACAGAAAAAAGAAAAAAAAAUAGAAUAAUCAAUUUUACUUAUUUAUAUGAUAUGAUGAUUUAAAUAUUUGUAAACUUCAUGGCAGAAUUAGAAUUGGAUAAGUUUACUUAUCAUCUCUAAUUAUACAUAUUAUCUCUUGAAGAUAAUUAUGAUCAAUUUUUUUAUACUUUUUAUUCUUUAAUGUUAUUCAAACCAAAUUAAUUUAAAUUCAUUUAUUAUAUAAAAAUAAAAAAUAAAAAAUCAAAGAGAAUAUAUAAAAUGUCUUAAGCCACGUGCUUAGUAGGUGAGAGAUUAUUUGAUCACGUGCAAGUACAGUAAUCGGAUAAGGAUGAAGUUGGAAUGAGUUAUUUUGGAAGUUUUUUUUUUUAAAAAUCGCAUUAUUAAAAGAAAAUUACCCAAAUAAUAUAUUACUCAUCAUAUUUAUCUAAAUAAUAAUAUGAUUUACGAUUGAUGUCAGGUUUCUCAAAAACCGAAGUCUAACUUAAUUUUUCAAUUUUUUUUAAAAUUAUGAAAAAAAUACAUAAUGAUAGUGUAAACUUUAUGACAUUAUCAUAUUUAAAAUUUAUUUUUUAAUAAUUUAAAUAAAUUAUUAAAUAUAAUUAAUAUUGAUAUCUUAUCACACAUGCAAUGCAAAGCAAGUAUAAUAGUUGGAUAAAAACAAACUUGCACCGAGUUAUUUUACUAAGCCAAUAAGGUAUGCAAAAUUGAAAUAUUUAUAUUGAGGUAUUUUUAUAACUUUAUUUAUAUUAAAUUAAGGACUCAUGUUUUAACUUGAUUGUUUAUAUUAAAAUAGAAAUAAAAAUGGAUUUAUUUGGUAAUUUUAAAUUAUAGAAACAUAUUCCAUAGAUAUUUGGUAGAAAGAACAAGAAAUUGACUUUGAAUUUUUAUUUUACAUCUUACACUCUUAGCAAUUCAAUGAAAUGCGUGUCACAAAAGAGAGCACACCCUUUUUUUAACAAUUAUAAAAGUUAUAAAAUAAUAAUAAUAGAGACAUUAGUGAUAAAUAAUUAAUGAGCUUUUGAUAAACACUUUUAUUUAUUUGUAGAUUAAAGUUCUCGAUCUUCACGAGGCACACAAUAUUAAAUUAUAAUAUUAAAGCACGUGCCGAGGAAUAUUUUAUGCUUCCCGUGGAACACGCACGACCUUCCUUCUAUAUUUUUAAAAGAGGGUUAAGAUAUUGUUUCUCUCUAAUAAAAUAUAUGUUAAACUAUAAUAUUAAAAUCCGGUAUUGAAAUGAUAAAUAUUUGAAAAUUAAAAAACCAGAAAAUCAUAAAUUAUUUAUCUGAAAUUUAAAAAGAUAAAUUAAUUAAAAUAUAAGUCUAAGAAUCCACCCCAAAAGAAACAAUAUGACCUCUCACCUUUCUGUUCACUACUUUGUCUUCUUUUUCACAAAUUUGGCAACCGCACCUUAUGCAAUUUGCAAUACCACCACUACAAAUUUCUUCUUUUCGUUAUUUUUCACUUGGCGCGUAUUUUGAAUUUUAAAAUGUCAAUCGCGAUGAGUUUCUAAGAAUAUAUAGGUUAUGAGAAAUAGAGACCCAUUCAUUUCUCAUUUUUUCUUUUCAUUUACUGAAGAAUAAGUGAUUCUUUUAUCAUUUUUUUUUUAUCCAUAUCAUACCUGUUCAGACGUGAUGCAGUUUAUAAGGUUUUUUUUUUAUUAUCAAAGUUGUUUGCUUUUAUCAUAUUUUUGGUGUCCCAAUAAUGCUUUUAAGAAAUAUUGAUCAAGCUAAUGGACUAUGUAAUGGUACAAGAUUUCAAGUUAAUGAGUUGGGGAAGAAUUUUAUCGAUUGUACAGUGAUUACAGGCAAAAACAUUGAUCAUAAAAUAUUCAUUCUUAGAACGAACUUGAUUCCUUCAGAUUUAGGACUGUCUUUCAAGUUUCAAAAAAGACAAUUAUCGAUAUCUUGUGCUUUGCAAUGACUAUAAAUAAAAACUAAGGUCAAACACUUUCCGAAGGUCUACUUUUUUUUCUUGGCCAAUGUUAUAAGCCAACAAUCUACAAAUAAUUUGUUUUUUAAUAAUUGUUUCUUAUUUGAAUUUGCAGGGUAAUAUAAUUGUUCUGAUCAUAUUUUUGCUUCUACUGCAAAAUUGUAAUAAAUAUAAUAUCUUAUCAAAAUCUUCUAUUCCUAUCUUUGCAUUUGGACAAAAUAAUACUUCUACUUUCUGUUUUUUUUUUCUCUAAGAUUUAAAACAUAUCUUUUAUAUAUUCCUCCUAUCAAAUUUACAUUUAAGUUAUGUGUAGCGGUGAUUGAAAUAUAUUGACAUUAUAACCCAAUAUUAUUCAACAACAAUUAGAGGUUAGUAUCAAAUAUUCAACAUCACUAUACCAUUUCUUACAUAUAGUAACAUAUUAUUUUCUCACAACACUCGUGCAUUAUUUUGUUUCUAUAUUUUGCUUUGUUUUCUUUUCUUCUGUUUUCACUUUCUCAUGUUUCAUAUACUGUGCAAUGCCACCAAGUGUUUGAUAAAUGCUUGAAUGAUGGUGACUGGUUCUUUCUCUAUUUGUUUAGGUUAUAUAUGGUUUUAUGAAUUGAUUACUAGACACUCAUUUAUUAAUUAAUAUAUGCGUAGCAUGCUUGUUGGUUGGGGUGUGACUGUGAGAGGGAAGGUGAGUGUGGGUUAUGACUUACCUUUCCGUUUCCUUGACAUAAUUGGGAGGUUACUUGCCACAAUUAAUUGUCAUCAAAUGGAAGUUUCUUACUACAACUAAUUGUCACCAAAGGGAGGUUAAUUACCAUUAAUUGUAUUUAUUAUUGUUGUCUCCUAGAACCACUAUAUAUAGUGGUUUCCUUCCAGCAAUAUAACAAACAACAACACAUACUUGCUUCCUCUUUAUUUUCCUAUACUCUCUAUUUCUGCUCUUGGGUGUAAGUGUUUAACCCAUAUAGAGAGAAUUUGUUUUGGGGCUAUUUAUCUAUUAGCCUGAGAGGGAUUCAUGGUACUCCCAGUACCAUUAUAGUGGAAGUUUUGGCUCUUUCGCCGAUGGUUUUUUAUCUUUAUUUAAAGGGGUUUUCCACCUAAAAAAUUUUGGUAUCAUUCUCAUUUUCUUUGUUACUCUAAUUUCUCAUAAUUUGGUUGAAAUUAUUACGCUUCUGCACAUGAUAUCCCUACAGUGAGAGAGAAUGCAGAAGGAUGGAAUAGUGUUGCGACGCUUUUGAAUAUCUUGAAGCUUUUUUAAUGGUUAAAGGUUUUAUUAACAUGAUUUUCUACUAAGAUUUACUAUUUUGGUUAAAUGUUUUAUUCAUUUUUUAAUGACAAUUUCAAUUUCAAUAAAAGCAUAGAUUGGAAAAACAACUCAUCAGGACUAUAAGGUACUGCCUCAAGCAGAGGAUUCCAGUGUGAAAUCGACUUGUAAUGGUGAAGAGGUAAAUCUUCAAGAGACUUUUGAAAAAUCUCAGCAAAUUACAAGUUAACGUAAUCAUAUAUUGCUUGGUAUCACGAUGCAACUUUAUGUAACUUUUUCUGUCCAAUCAAUUAUUAAGAUGGAAGAAGAUGAAGAUGUAGAGGUUAAACAAAAGGAAUGUGAUGAUGCAAAGUACAAUGUCGAUGAAGAACCAAUCAACCAACAUUUUAAGCAGCUAGAGUUAUUUCAGCUGCAAAACGAGAACGUCCAAGUAACUUGUGUCAGAAUAAUAUUAAAUAAUCAUACUUACAACAUGUAUAAUUCUAAUACAGUACCAUAUAAACAUGCAAUUAGAGCUAGAUUGAAUGGUUUGACACAAGAGUUUUCCUAGGAUUGCUUUCGUAAUGCACUAUGCAUAAGAUAAAGUAACCAAUUUGAUGUUGACAAUCCUUAGGAAUUGAAAAUGAUGGUUCAUCAAACAAAAAUAGGAAUGCAGGUUCUGCAACAUAAUUCACCUACGCAUUUUACCUAUGACCAAUCACUGACCAAUUAAAAGGUUGUCUCCAUUUUAAAAUUACUAUGUAAAAGCCUAAGGGGGCUCAAUGAUUCAUUCCCACAAGUAUGAACAUUUCAAUUCUGUUUUUUAUUUUACCUAAUCUCAAUUUUGUGCACAAUAUCUUGUAGUUUCUUGAUUCUUUCUUUCUGAAGGAUAUUUUUAUCCAUUAUUAAAAACCAAUUUCUUUUGAGACCUUUAUAUUAUUAUAAGAAAAUUUGGUCUCAUAUAAAAAAUUGUGUUUAGAUAAAUCUAAAAUCAAACUCUAGUUUUUAUUUUUCAAGAGUAUUUAUUUGAUCUUUAGUCUGGAACCAAAUUUUUUUCACAUGCAACUAGGUGGGGUAGGUACUUAAUUGAAGGACAAUAAUGUUAAUUAAACCAUGGCCUUAACAUGGAAUGUGAAAGAAGGUCCAAGACGACUCAAAUGUUCACUCACCUUCAAACCUCGGUCCUUGGUCUCUUACCUCAGGUUCAUCAAUCAUCAUCCAACAUUUCAUGUUUUCUCAAUAAUUAAUGCUACACAUUAUUUUCAUGGUUUUUUUUAGAGUUUUGGUUACAUGAGUUUUAUGCAUUAUGUCCACAUUGUGUUGAAGAUGAAGAUGAAAGCUUUCAUGUAUCAAAUUCACAUGAAGCCGGAAGCUGUGUGCUUUCUGGGUUCUGGGUUUGGGUUUAGAUUAAGUUGUUUAGAAUCUUUGUUAAGAUUAGUCCUUGAAGCCUACACAAAGCUUGAUUAAAUCUAUUUUAAGAAACUAAGUGUUGUUCCAAGUAAAGGGAAAACAACCGAUUGAUUUGUCGAAAUAAUCGGUUGUUUGUCAAUUAGCUCACUGGAAGUUUUGAAACUGCUUGACUCAUUCAACCGGUUAAAUCGUGGUCUCACCCGGUUAAAUAUGUGUUUUCAUAACAGUUUUUUGAAAACUUGUUUUAACUGAUUCAGUUGUUCAAAUCUGCCUUAAGCAAUUGCUUUUCAAAGGCUAUAAAUAAAGGCUUUCAUUAAAAUCAAAAGAUACAACAAAUACAACAAGUAUUGAUUCAGAUUUUAGAAAGAGAUUUGGUGUUUGAAAGUGCUUACAAAAAGUGCAAGAGUGCUUUCAAGCUUUGAUGUGGUGACAAGUGUUGAUCAUAGGAUCUCUGGUUCUGUAAUUCCAGGUGUUUUCUAUCCUUGCUUAGUGUAUUGUAAUUGUACUUCUUUUACAUACUUUUGUGUUUGAAAUUCUAUAAAGACAAAGGUUGUUCUGUCUUGAGGUGUGAAGUUUUGCAAAGAGGGUGAGUAGGCUUUGUGGGAUUCAAAGUCACCUCUUUGUGGUGUGUGAUUGUAAUCUGUGUUGAUUACUAGUGGAAACUUAGAGGUUUGUCUGAGAACUGGAUGUAGCUCAGGGAUUGAGUGAACCAGUAGAAACCUUGUGUGUAAAUCUCUCUUUCUCUCAAACUGUUUGAUAUUUUGCUGCUAUAAACAACCGAUUAAAACACAAUUUUAACCGGUUAAAAUUCUGAUAUCUAUUUCUUUUGGAUUGUUUGGUUGCCUUCCUUAAGUGCUUAUCUGAGUUGUUUGUUAAAUAUUCAUUCUAGACCAAGUAUUUGCGAAAAUCUUUGAUAAACAAUUCACCCCUCCUCUUGUUUAAGCCAUCAAUUCUUACACAUUGGAGGAGUUGAAGAAGACUAUGAAAGGAGUAGAAGGGUCCAUGAUUGAAUGUGGUAACAACAAUAGAAAUUGUUCAAUCAUGGUUACUAUUUCUGCUAAUGUUGCAUUCUUUGGUAUUCAAUGGGUGCCUCAACCAGGUUUGGUGACGCAAAUUUUAAAGGUGUUUUGCAAUCACAAAGCAUAGAUUUUGGCUACAAAUGUAGAAAUUGAUAUUGGCAAUCACAGUUUUGGUGCAAAAUAAUGGAAAGUGUGUGGUUGAAAAUAUUAAAAGAGAAAUUAUGAGUUUGUAGGAUCAAAACUCUUGCGAUAGAUUAUAUGGUGUUUGAUUUUGGUACCAUGUCACAGAAGAAGCUAACUUGAUAUAGAUCAUGAUUAGACAUUAGAAACUAAACUCUAACCUGUAUCAAUUUCAAAAAACCUGCAUCUCACUUGUCACUUAUAUGGUUUAAUUAGAUCGUAUUCAUAUAAUUAUAAAAGAAUUUAGUAUGAGAUUUGGAUGAAGAGAAAGGAAGGAAGAAAGUAGAAACUAGAGCUGAAAACUUUUACUGAGAUACAAUAUGAAUAGGUUAGGCCAAUUGCAUAAUUGGUGUAUUAAUUGGUUUUAUUUGUCUUACGCUAAUCUUUUUUUCUUUUAUGUGAUGGGCAACGAAGAAUACUGAUGGAAGAGAGUCAUCUCGUGCAGAAAUGUGCAUCAUGAUAAGCCUAAGAGUGAAACAAAUUAUUGUAUGUAAUCUCUAUCUUUAUCUUCCUCACCCUCAAUAGUUAUUCCUCAAAUAUUAAAUUUUGAAUAUUUGGUGCUUAACUGCUAUAUUUAUAUAAUGUAAAUUAAUUUAAUAUUUAAUAACGUCUACUACUAAAACUUUAGACAAACUUCUGUAAAUGGUACAGAUUGAAGACAUGUAUGAAUACUUCUUAACAUUUGUGAACUGUAACAAAUGUAUAUAUUUUUGGUGGAACUGAAGAUUAUAAUUAUAUCAUUAUGGAGUGUUGGUUGUUUGAUGCUGCAAAAUCUGUAUUAAAUUUGAUGUGGUAGAAAUAAUGUAGAAUGACUUGUUUGACAUAAAUAACAGUUGGGGCCAUCAAAGCCUCUUCAAUUGUAAUAUUGCUACUAGGAAGUUGAUCUUUCAAUGAAAGACCAUUCUUUUUUUGUGUGUGGAAAAUUGGGAGUAUGUGUUGGCCUUCUAUCUUUGUAAAUGUGCUCUUCACUGUUGUGAGGUUUUUACAACACACCCUUAAUGGAACAAAAAAUCCAUCUAUAAGUAACACAUUAAUGUCUCAUGCAUGAAUUAUUAUGUCCUUCAGAUACAAAUUUAUAGGGGCUACAAUUAUCUCAUUGCUUUAACCACAAAAUUUUCAUUUCAUCCAUCAGAAUGCAAACCACACUUACCUUGGACAACUUCAUACCAUAGAGUUAGUCUGUAGAGAAAAAUGCUAAAGUCACUUAGCUGCUAAAACAAUAUUUUAAUCUAGCAAAUCUCCCAACUAACAAGGUGACCUCUACUUAAUCCAUUUGAAAACAAUAUAUCUUAAGUUUUUAUAGUAAACAAUUGGUGCACGUAUGAUAGAAUUUUAACUAUUGCAAUCAUUUUAAAAACCAUAUCUAUCAAUUUUUUUGAGAUUUUUUUCAAAUUAAACUCAAAUUUUAAAAGGCAUAUAUAUGAGUAUAUGGGUAAAUCAUAGUUAAUAUCUGUGGUUGAUGAAAUUUUAUAAAUAUUUUUUCUAUUCUUAUUUAUGGCUAUCAAAUAUUAGAGGUGACAAAGUGAGGCGGACUGUGCGAAUUGGCCUGUGGCCCCCUGAAAAAAAUGUGGGCGGGUUGCUUAUUUCAACUCGCUGACUCACUUAGGUCCGCCCUACAUAACUCGCAGUCCGCACGGGCCAAGUGGGAGCGGGUGCGGGUUGACCCGCAUAACUUUAAAAUGUAGAAUUUUUUUUCUGCAUCGCCAUAUUUUCUUCAUGUAGCCUCAUAUUUCACAUUCCAAAAUUUUUAAUAACAUCUUACUAUGCAUGUCUCGUGAAAAUAAUAUUAUUAGACCAUUUACCUAAUUCAUCUAAAUAAAUAAAAAAUUAUUUAAAAAAAUAUUUCUUAUGCGGACUAGCUCGUAGGCCAACCCUUAUACGAAACAAACUAGAAAUCUUUGAAUGCAUGUUUUCAUCUGCUGAGCUCAAUGAAUUUCAAGAAAUAUCUGAAAAAUAUUGGGUUGAAAAGAGAAGACUACUAUUUUUUAAAACAUGUUUGGAAGGGUUUGUUGUCUUGCCUUGCUUGGGGUUUUAUGGCUCUAUCCUGAGAAUUCAGCACUGAGCGGGGGAAACUGAAGUCAAGGCUGAAGGAGCAUGAAGAAGCAUUGAAGGAUUUCAUUGGUAAGGGAAGGAUGAGAAAGCUCAGAAGCUGUGGUUGAGGCUGAAGAAUGAGGUUGCAACUGAACUAAAGGAGAGACGUUUUGAUGUUGAAUAAGUGUAUGCUUUAUAGUGAAUGGUUGUCAAUGUCAUUUCCAUGAUACAUGAACAGAUUGUGAGACUCUAGAUGUAGUAGACACUAAAAAUCUUAUGUAUGCUAGAUGAUAAAUAAAAGUGACAAUUUAUUGACAAGACAUGUCUAAAUUCACUUUCAAACAUUGAAAAUCCAUAGUGUUGUGUUGAUAGAUUUUUAUUACUAGUUUGCUUAUAGAAUAAAAACAUCAAAACAUAAAUUAUUAAAUUCAUGUUACAAUCCAAACCUAAGUAAUCUAUAUAAUUUUGUAAUCAAACAAUUUACUAAAUUUUUUAGUAACAUUUUUAUAAUGUUACUUUUUUUUUAUUAAAAAAUAUUAGUAACAUUUUUUAAAUGUGACUUCUUAAAUUUAGAGUGUAGGGAUUAGUAACAUUUUUAUAAUGUUACUCUCUUUCCAAAAAAAUAUUACUAAAAAAAAUUAAUAACAUUUUUAAAAUGUUAUUUAUUUAUUAAAAAAAGUUACUAACCUUUUCAUAAUAUUAAUUUUUUUUAUUAAAAAGUAUUACUAAAAAGAUUGAAUAACAUUUUUAAAAUGACAUAUUUUAUUAAAAAAAUUACUAAAAAUAAUUAGUAACAUUUUUAUAAUGUCACUUUAAUAUUAAAAAAAGUUAAUAAAGAUUUAUAGUAACAUUUUUAUAAUAUUUUUUUUUUUAAAAUUACUCAAACAAUUUAGUAACAUUUUAAAAAUGUUAUUUUUUUAUUAAAUAAAUAUUACUAAAAAUAUUUAAUGACAUUUUUAUAAAUGUAUUUAUUCAAAUAUAAAAGUAUUACUAAAAGUAUUUAGUUAUAUAAAAUAUUUGUUACAUUGAAUAAAAUUACUAAAUCAUAUUAGUAAUUUUUUUAUAUUUAAUAACAUUUUCUUUAUUUAAUAACAUUUUUUUAAUGUUACUAAUUAUCAUAUCUAGUAUUACCAUAACUUUACAAAAAGAAAUCAAUUUAAUCCUUUAUCAUAUUAAAUAGAUUCUCUACCAAAAAUGUUUUCCUGCCGAUUUAUAAUUAAUUUUGUUAAUAAUAUAAAAUAGUAAUAGUUAAAAACGGAUAGAAAAAAAGUUCUUAUAUUUUUCUCUAGACAUAAUUACAUUUUUAAUCAUCAUUAUAAUUAGAAAGAUAAGAAAAACCUCCUCUAUUCAAACAACCUUUUCUUUUUUUUUCUUAACCUCCAAAAUCUAUAUAUAUAUAUAUAUAUAUAUAUAUAUAUACACACUCAUUUUUAACAUUUUUUUUAAAUCGUUUGGUCAUAUUGUGUUUAUAAAAUCAAUCUUGAAAGGUUUAUAAAGUUAAAAAUGUGUAAUUAAGUUUUGAGUUCCAUUUAAAUUCAAGAACUACCAAAAAGAAAUCCAGGUAUUAUUAAUUUAAAUUUAAAGAUGUCAUAUUAAGGAAACUUCAUAGUCUUUGUUUACUUCGACUAUUUCAACUCCAAGAAAUUGGAUAUUUCAAAAUUCUCUAGAUUCAAACUACGGACUUAAUAACCUUAUCAGCUUCAAAAACCUUUACGAACACUAAAUCGAAGGCUUCAUGCUCAGUGAGAUUCAACCGUCUUCCAUCCUCACCGUUCUCUGCAUCAAACCUCCCAAUAUCCAAACAAGUUGGUGAACCAGUGAUGCAGAACACAAGCUUGUACCCAAAAUGGUAGUUCUCAAUAUGAAAUCUAGUCGAUAUGGGAUCUCCAACCCACCCCGCGUGCAAGGGACAACAUGUUAUGGGUGGGGUUUUUUCUUCCUGCACCCCCACGUUUUUCUUUCUGCACCCCACAAUUCUAAAUAUUCCUAAAGUACCCUUGAUCUAUAAUUUGAAAAGGGCACUCUCCUGGACUUGCAUUGUAGCAGUUCAUCUUCAUCACUGAAAUAUCAACUCCUGGACCUAUACUGGGAUUUUACCACACCGCAGGUUUAGCAUUCAGUUCUUAUAGAUAAAACAUUGCAGUUAUACAUCUUUCCCAUUUUACUUAUGAUGUAUUUCUUAUUCAUCUAUGUAAUUUAACUAUUUUUCAAAUGCAGAUUCUGACAAUGGAGUAUGUUCCGGGGAUUAAAAUAAAUAAAACACAAGCUUUAAAUGAACUUGGUAUUGAUCGCAAAAGGUUAAUCUCAUAUGAAUUUCUUCAAGCCAAGUUACUAUUGACAUUUUCCCUUCUACUUCUGUGAAUUUUAGGAAUUGAUGAUGGCUUUUGAAAUUCAAAAAUAACAUAAUGUAUACUUUAUCUUCUACAGGUUAGGGCGAUAUGCAGGGGAUUCUUAUUUGGAGCAGAUUUUUAUCACAUGGUUUCUUCCAUGCUGACUCUUCUUGUUCUUAGAAUUGUUGAGUUGUCUCAUGACUUAUCUUGUUUGAAUAAGGGAGAAGAGAUUGGCUGGAAAUACUUAUCUCCCAUGUUGGAUUCCAAGUACACACUUUGCAUGCUAUAUACUUAACUUUUGAUUUAAUCAUAUCAUAUUGCAUAAAAUAAGAGAACAAGUAAGAACUUGCACAAUAGAAGGGUGGCAAAGAAGCUUUGCAUAAAAUAUUGUUACAUUCCCUUUUCAGCUCAAAUAGAAACUGAUUUGAUCUUUGGCUGUUUUUUGUACUGCACUUAGCAUUGGAAAACAUUAUGAUAAUUGUGAAGUUUGAAAAAGAUUUAUAAACAGGGAGUUCUAAUAAUUUGUUUUGCCAGUUAACAUCAAAUGUUCAUAUUAUUUCAACUAAUUUAUAUGGAUUUGACGAGUAGGGGAUUCAAAAAUUUAGAACUUUCCCAGAUCCAAAAAUUUGGAACUUUCCCAGAUUCAAAAAUUCGGAACCUUCCCAGAACUAUAAAUCCAGGAUUUUACCGCAAGCAUAAACUCGAGAUUCUACCGGAUUCUAUGAUCUAGAAUGCAAGAAAACACUUACAGAAACAAAAAUCCAUAAAAAAAUCGGAUGUGCAGAUCCGAAAGCAAAGAAAUUAACUUAUCUUGAUUAAAAACACUCUAUAUCAGCAACAAAAAAUUCUGAGAUUGUAAGGAUAGCGAUUUGUAGGUGCGACUGCUGCUAGAAAAUGAAACCCACGGCUGUGCACUGAGAGAAUCAUUGCCUGUGCCUCUUUAGGGUUUUUUUAGGUGAAGGGUAUUUUUAGAAUUUUAAAAACUAUUAAGGACGAUUUAGUCUUUGCAUAAGAGUGUGGGGGUGCAGGAAGCAAUUGUCUAUGGGUGGUCCAAUAACGGCCCGAUAGCGGGUGGCAUGAUAGGUCCAACAAACGUUUGUUAUGAUAGACUUUAAAUGACUCUGAUAUCAUAUUACGAAGUGAACUUUAAACCUAACUCAACCCCAUAAAACCGGCUCAUGAAGUGGAAUUUGCACCCACUUAUAUAAAAUGAAAUGAUAUAAUAUCUAGUUGAUGUAGGAUCUUUAACAUACUCCCACACGCAUUUGUUCUGGAUUUCUUCGUCCUCACUCAUGUUUCAGACAUACAUAAGACACUGACAAUAAGACACUGACACUAAAACACCUAUAAUUUUUAAAAUUUAAACAUAAAAUAUAAAUUUAUAUAUUAUAUUAUUAUGAAUUAUAUAAAUUUCCUAGUACAAAAUUUAUAUCAACAAGUAUACGCUAAGAUUUUUUUUUAUGAUUGAUUAAAAGAAAUUUUUUUCUGACACAGACUGCAUGAAAAGAAAAACGUAUCCGAGCUUCGUAUUAGUAAUAGAACAACAUAGUUUUGAAGAAAAUUUCUGACUACAAUUUAGAGACUCCGAAAUAGUGAGAGAAAAGUAAACUUUUAAGACAGUUUGAUAACUAAUUUCACUGUUGAUUAACUAAACAAUAUAAAAGAUUUGAUUGAACCCAAAAAUGGACUCGUAGUUUUGUUGCAUGUAUAAGCUUAAGUUUCCAUUUUUAUAUACUUUGAAGUCUGAAAUAAUUAAGUUGAUAAAGUAAUGAUGAGUACCAGUGAAGAUGAUUCCAGGGCUGACUCCAGGUAUGGUGAAUGCCACGGAAGAGAUUUGAGUAAUCUUGCAACACAGUUAGAGCACACUUUGAGUUCCCAGUUUGGGCAAGUUUCAAUCCACCACCACUUGGGCCAAAGAUUGCUGGAAAGAUGUAGUAUGUGAAACCUCUGAAAAUGGGGUUCCCAUUUGUGUCCACAAUUGGCUGAACAUUUGAGAAAGCUAAGGGAAGGUUGGUGAGGAAAGCGAGGAGAAGGAGGAGGAAGAAGAGGGCAAGAACUGCUGUGGGUUUCAUGGU